CAAUGUUCUAAGAGAUAGAUGGGAGACACAGAGAAGUUCAUGAGCCUGUGGUGAAAUCAGCCCGUCCUCUUCCCCCUGCCCCAGGCAGCUACUGAACCUCCCAACCCUCUCCACUCACGUGGCCAUGAAGAUCCGUGUUCAACAGCAUGAGAGCACAGGUUAGAGUGUGGGCUCCAUCUGGGGUGGGGGGGAGCUAGUCAGCAUAUCUCCCUGCCUGUCUCCUCCACUCCCAUCUCCACUCCACCCCCUCAGGCUCUGGCCACAAAGUGUGCAUUGAGGAGGAGAACCCUGGCUGCCCAAUGACUAGGGCAUCAGAUAACACAAUGUGCAGGGAAGCCCCCAUGUCCAUUCCACCGCAGUUAUGCACCCCUCCAGAUAUGUGAAUACUUACAGGCACACAUACAUUUCAGCAUGUAUGCACCCAAGUUCACAUUUCUACUUAUGUGCCCAUUGACACCUAAGCUUGCUUGGGUACCUAAGUGACCGUGCCCUUCUGAGUAGUCUCUGGGUUUGUGCCUGUGAACAGAGUCCACUCCCCACCCCCACCCCCAAGCUUCCCAGUCCCCUCACCCUCAGAGGACAGGGCCCCAGGGUUACAUUGAUGGUAGCGCUGGGAGAAAUGAGCCAGGACCCGCUCUCGCUCCUGGGUUUCCCCCAUCAGAGCCAGCUCCUUCAGAAAUACCCUAGGGUGAAAGAGUACCAGGGGGAUAUGAACAUUGCCACCAGCAUGGAACCUCAUCAUGGUUUCCAACUCAUACCUGAGCCCCCAUGCUACCCUGCUUGGCACAGGAAGACCCUGGGGAGGAAGAGACAGAGUGUAAUGUAGAGCUGAGGCCUGGGCACUUAAACCCUGUUCAUAGUCUGGUUUUGUCUGGCUUAUUAUUGGGGCUGGGUCCAGCUGGCACAAGAUAUAUGUAUUAGGGAGAGUAUCCUCUCCUGGAUCCAGCAGAUGCUUUGAAAAAAGGAAGGAACCCACCUGAGUGCCUGGUCCAGAUUCAUUCCAGUGAAGACAAAGAAUUUGAGGUGCUGAGUUCAGCCGGAACAUUUUACAUGAGAAGAAUGAAGAUUGAAGAGGGAUCAACUUGCUCAGGUUGGAGAGAUAAGAACAGUCUCCCCUCCUGUGCCCCCUGUGCCCUAGAGGCAGUAUGGUACAGCAGAAACAACAGUGGCUCAGAAGGCUGACUACCUGUGGGACCUUAGACAAAUCCCUCAGUUUCUUCAACCAUAUGAGGGUAAAGACUAAAUGGUCUCUGAUUUUCAUUCUAGCUCUAGAGCGAUGAUUUCAGCAACAUAGUAGGUGGUUAAUAAAUGCUUAUGACCUAGGUUUGAGAGA
Molecule: non-coding RNA, 1333 nt
Organism: Monodelphis domestica (gray short-tailed opossum)
Lineage: Eukaryota; Metazoa; Chordata; Mammalia; Didelphimorphia; Didelphidae
Source: RefSeq, a predicted model, not a curated record